AUACGUAGGUGACAAGCGUUAUCCGGAUUUACUGGGCGUAAAGGGCGUGUAGGCGGUCUUGCAAGUCAGAAGUGAAAUUCCUGAGCUCAACUCGGGCGCUGCUUCUGAAACUGCAGGACUUGAGUGCUGGAGGGGAUAGCGGAAUUCCUAGUGGAGCGGUAAAAUGCGCAGAUAUUAGGAGGAACACCAGUGGCGAAGGCGUCUUUCUGGACAGUAAGUGACGCGGAGGUACGAAAGCGGGGGGAGCAAACAGGAUUAGAUACCCUGGUAGUCCACGCCGUAAACGAUGAGCACUAGUUGUUGGGUCCGAAUGGAUUCAGUGACGCAGUUAACGCAAUAAGUGCUCCGCCUGGGGAGUACGGUGGCAACACUAAAACUCAAAUGAAUUGACGGGG
This 395-nucleotide ribosomal RNA is filed under the name uncultured bacterium. RNAcentral's name for it is "partial 16S ribosomal RNA". It matches the Rfam family "Bacterial small subunit ribosomal RNA", at positions 523 to 918 of the family's 1533-position model. The record is from RNAcentral.